UACGUAGGGUGCGAGCGUUAAUCGGAAUUACUGGGCGUAAAGCGUGCGUAGGUGGUUCGUUAAGUCUGAUGUGAAAGCCCUGGGCUCAACCUGGGAAUGGCAUUGGAUACUGGCGACCUAGAGUGCGGUGGAGGGGUGUGGAAUUCCCGGUGUAGCAGUGAAAUGCGUAGAUAUCGGGAGGAACAUCUGUGGCGAAGGCGACACCCUGGACCAGCACUGACACUGAGGCACGAAAGCGUGGGGAGCAAACAGG
This 253-nucleotide ribosomal RNA is filed under the name uncultured bacterium. Its description in RNAcentral is "partial 16S ribosomal RNA". It matches the Rfam family "Bacterial small subunit ribosomal RNA", at positions 524 to 776 of the family's 1533-position model. The record is from RNAcentral.